UAACCCUUCAGCCGAGGCAAAUUGUUACAAAAGAAGACUGGGAUAAGAAGCAUCACUGAGCUGAUGCCAUGUCAACCACCUGAUGAAGUCUACAGAAAGGUUGUCAAGCACGUCUUCCCCCUGCCAGGUGUGAAGAGGACAUGGUAGUCAGUAAUUGAGCUCAACUAUGCCAAAACCAUCAUGUGAGUCAUCCAUUCCCUAAAGGAGGUAAUAGUGAGCACCUGCCACCUCAUCACCUGAAUGUCACUCCUGGGACCCUUCAUCGUAUCAUCCAUGCAGUUUUUGGGGUGAGGACUGAAACGUCUCAAGAGAGCCUGCUGACAGUGGACACCUCUGAAUGGAUAAUCACACGCACGCACGCACACGCACACGCACAGGCACACACACAUUCUUGUGAACAUGCACACACAUGCAAAUUUUACAUGCUGCACACCUGCACACACAGAAGUGUGCAAAUGCAUAUGGACACAUAUUCAUCUGUGAAGACACCUUUCAACCGUGCACAGCAGCUCUCACCCAGUGGCACUUCAAGCACCAAGUUCAGAUGCACAGCUUUCAUUGUGCAUGAAUGCCAAGUGAUACCUGGAGUGCUGUUAACGACAGAAACACUAAUAUUCAUUUUGUCAUCAGCAUGAACACUUUACACCCUCCUCAGUCCCAGUUAGACCAACUGAUCACAAACAUUAAUUAAAAAAAACAUGGCAAAAUAUGAUGAUGAUGAUGAUUAUUAUUUUAUUAUUAGUUAGUAAAAUGUGUUGUUCAUAUAAUGGUUACAUCAUUAAAGUUUAUGUGUGCUUUUAUGUAGUUAGACAUUACUCAGAAAAAAAAAAAAUGCAGCAGAUGUUCAAAUUUAACUAGCUAAACUUCACAAAUCAAAGCCGGACCACUAAUAAAGAGCUCUUGUCAGUUGGUAAAGAGGUGAGAUUACACGCACACACACACACUUAUACACCAGUACCAAUCAUUAACAGCUCAGCUCGGGUCAUACUUUGCAGCUGCUCUUUCUGGAUAAGAUAAGACGUGACUGCCGAGUGUCUGUGUUCUUGCAUGUGUAUUUAUGUCUGUAUCAUUGUCUGUAUCUGUGGCUGAAAACACCUGUUCAAACAAAGCUU
Molecule: long non-coding RNA, 1112 nt
Organism: Dunckerocampus dactyliophorus (ringed pipefish)
Lineage: Eukaryota; Metazoa; Chordata; Actinopteri; Syngnathiformes; Syngnathidae
Exons: 4
Source: RefSeq, a predicted model, not a curated record